This 370-nucleotide unclassified non-coding RNA is filed under the name Zea mays. RNAcentral's name for it is "misc RNA Zm00001eb395420". Lineage: Eukaryota; Viridiplantae; Streptophyta; Magnoliopsida; Poales; Poaceae. The record is from RNAcentral.
CACGAUCAGUGCGAGGAGGGUCAGAAAUGCCGCUGUUCCCACCAGCACCAGUGCCCAACAAAAGGUUCCUGCGAGCAGAUCGGAGGGCAACAUGCAGAGGUUCUGAGAACGACACGUGCCCUUCAUCGUCAGUGGCUCGCGCGCACAGGGGGCAAGGUGGUUCAUGGACUUCUGUCUUGGCAGUGCUUUCCUCCAAGCAAUCCGCGUGGAAGACAUGUCGGCAAGGCAGAACUGCUGCCACUGGCAUGUCGGCGUUUCGAACAAUCCUGUUCGAGGUCCAGGGUGAUUUCUGGUGCAGGAAUCUCUCGCACAGCCCACACUUCAGGAACCUCGCUGAGCUCGUGGGAGAUCUCUGGGACUCGAUGCUGAU